AACGAACGCUGGCGGCAUGCCUAACACAUGCAAGUCGAACGAGACCUUCGGGUCUAGUGGCGCACGGGUGCGUAACGCGUGGGAACCUGCCCUUAGGUUCGGAAUAACUCCCCGAAAGGGGUGCUAAUACCGGAUAAUGUCUUCGGACCAAAGAUUUAUCGCCUUUGGAUGGGCCCGCGUUGGAUUAGCUCGUUGGUAGGGUAAAAGCCUACCAAGGCGACGAUCCAUAGCUGGUCUGAGAGGAUGAUCAGCCACACUGGGACUGAGACACGGCCCAGACUCCUACGGGAGGCAGCAGUGGGGAAUAUUGGACAAUGGGCGAAAGCCUGAUCCAGCAAUGCCGCGUGAGUGAUGAAGGCCUUAGGGUUGUAAAGCUCUUUUACCCGGGAUGAUAAUGACAGUACCGGGAGAAUAAGCUCGGGCUAACUCCGUG
Molecule: ribosomal RNA, 433 nt
Filed under: uncultured bacterium
Lineage: Bacteria
Description: partial 16S ribosomal RNA
Rfam family: Bacterial small subunit ribosomal RNA
Source: RNAcentral